This 75-nucleotide transfer RNA is filed under the name Ignavibacteriales bacterium. RNAcentral describes it as "tRNA-Lys". It matches the Rfam family "tRNA". Rfam says of the family: Transfer RNA (tRNA) molecules are approximately 80 nucleotides in length. Their secondary structure includes four short double-helical elements and three loops (D, anti-codon, and T loops). Further hydrogen bonds mediate the characteristic L-shaped molecular structure. tRNAs have two regions of fundamental functional importance: the anti-codon, which is responsible for specific mRNA codon recognition, and the 3' end, to which the tRNAs corresponding amino acid is attached (by aminoacyl-tRNA synthetases). tRNAs cope with the degeneracy of the genetic code in two manners: having more than one tRNA (with a specific anti-codon) for a particular amino acid; and 'wobble' base-pairing, i.e. permitting non-standard base-pairing at the 3rd anti-codon position. The record is from RNAcentral. Lineage: Bacteria; Pseudomonadati; Ignavibacteriota; Ignavibacteria; Ignavibacteriales.
GGGCGCGUAGCUCAGUGGUAGAGCAUCUGCCUUUUAAGCAGAGGGUCGGUGGUUCGAGACCACCCGCGCUCACUA